This 467-nucleotide ribosomal RNA is filed under the name uncultured bacterium. RNAcentral's name for it is "partial 16S ribosomal RNA". It matches the Rfam family "Bacterial small subunit ribosomal RNA", at positions 28 to 507 of the family's 1533-position model. The record is from RNAcentral.
GAUGAACGCUGGCGGCGUGCUUAACACAUGCAAGUCGAACGGAAAGGCCCAAGCUUGCUUGGGUACUCGAGUGGCGAACGGGUGAGUAGCACGUGGGUGAUCUGCCCUGCACUUCGGGAUAAGCCUGGGAAACUGGGUCUAAUACCGGAUAGGACGAUGGUUUGGAUGCCAUUGUGGAAAGUUUUUUCGGUGUGGGAUGAGCUCGCGGCCUAUCAGCUUGUUGGUGGGGUAAUGGCCUACCAAGGCGUCGACGGGUAGCCGGCCUGAGAGGGUGUACGGCCACAUUGGGACUGAGAUACGGCCCAGACUCCUACGGGAGGCAGCAGUGGGGAAUAUUGCACAAUGGGCGCAAGCCUGAUGCAGCGACGCCGCGUGGGGGAUGACGGCCUUCGGGUUGUAAACUCCUUUCGCUAGGGACGAAGCGUUUUGUGACGGUACCUGGAGAAGAAGCACCGGCUAACUACGUG